UACGGAGGGUCCGAGCGUUAUCCGGAAUCAUUGGGUUUAAAGGGUCCGCAGGCGGUCAAUUAAGUCAGAGGUGAAAUCCCAUAGCUUAACUAUGGAACUGCCUUUGAUACUGUUAUUCUUGAAUCUAGUUGAAGUAGGCGGAAUGAGUCAUGUAGCGGUGAAAUGCAUAGAUAUUACAUAGAAUACCGAUUGCGAAGGCAGUCUACUACGUAUAUACUGACGCUCAUGGACGAAAGCGUGGGGAGCGAACAGG
RNAcentral lists this ribosomal RNA (253 nucleotides) under uncultured bacterium. Its description in RNAcentral is "partial 16S ribosomal RNA". It matches the Rfam family "Bacterial small subunit ribosomal RNA", at positions 524 to 776 of the family's 1533-position model. The record is from RNAcentral.